Molecule: unclassified non-coding RNA, 332 nt
Filed under: soil metagenome
Description: partial contains 5.8S ribosomal RNA, internal transcribed spacer 2, and large subunit ribosomal RNA
Rfam family: 5.8S ribosomal RNA (bases 1-120)
Source: RNAcentral
GAUGAAGAACGCAGCAAAAUGCGAUAAGUAAUGUGAAUUGCAGAAUUCAGUGAAUCAUCGAAUCUUUGAACGCACAUUGCGCCCGCCAGUAUUCUGGCGGGCAUGCCUGUUCGAGCGUCAUUUCAACCCUCAAGCACAGCUUGGUGUUGGGACUCGCGUUAAUUCGCGUUCCUCAAAUUGAUUGGAGGUCACGUCGAGCUUCCAUAGCGUAGUAGUAAAACCCUCGUUACUGGUAAUCGUCGCGGCCACGCCGUUAAACCCCAACUUCUGAAUGUUGACCUCGGAUCAGGUAGGAAUACCCGCUGAACUUAAGCAUAUCAAUAAGCGGAGGA